Molecule: non-coding RNA, 1144 nt
Filed under: Drosophila willistoni
Lineage: Eukaryota; Metazoa; Arthropoda; Insecta; Diptera; Drosophilidae
Description: Eukaryotic large subunit ribosomal RNA
Rfam family: Eukaryotic large subunit ribosomal RNA
Source: Rfam by way of RNAcentral
CAACCUCAACUCAUAUGGGACUACCCCCUGAAUUUAAGCAUAUUAAUUAGGGGAGGAAAAGAAACUAACAAGGAUUUUCUUUACCCAUAGAGGGUGCCAGGCCCGUAUAACGUUAAUGAUUACUAGAUGGUGUUUCCAAAGAGUCGUGUUGCUUGAUAGUGCAGCACUAAGUGGGUGGUAAACUCCAUCUAAAACUAAAUAUAACCAUGAGACCGAUAGUAAACAAGUACCGUGAGGGAAAGUUGAAAAGAACUCUGAAUAGAGAGUUAAAUAGUACGUGAAACUGCUUAGAGGUUAAGCCCGAUGAACCUGAAUAUCCAUUAUGGAAAAUUCAUCAUUAGAGUUUUAAUAUUUUAAUAAUAUUAUAAUAAUAGUGUGCAUUUUUUCCAUAUAAGGACAUUGUAAUCUAUUAACAUAAACCAAAUUUAUCAUAAAAUAUGACUUAUAGUUUAUUUAAAUUAUUUUGCUUGCAUUUUAACAUAGAAUAAAUGUCAUUAAUUUGAUAAAGUGUUGAUAGAUUUAUAUGAAUACAGUGCGUUAAUUUUUCGGAAUUAUAUAAUAGCAUGAUUAUCAUUGAUUUUCUGUGUUUAUUAUAUGCACUUGUAUGAUUAACAAUGCGAAAGAUUCAGGAUACCUUCGGGACCCGUCUUGAAACACGGACCAAGGAGUCUAACAUAUGUGCAAGUUAUUGGGAUAUAAACCUAAUAGCAUAAUUAACUUGACUAAUAAUGGGAUUAGUUUUUUAACUAUUUAUAGAUAAUUAACACAAUCCCGGGGCGUUCUAUAUAGUUAUGUAUAAUGAUAUUUAUAUUAUUUAUACCUCUAACUGGAACGUACCUUGAGCAUAUAUGCUGUGACCCGAAAGAUGGUGAACUAUACUUGAUCAGGUUGAAGUCAGGGGAAACCCUGAUGGAAGACCGAAACAGUUCUGACGUGCAAAUCGAUUGUCAGAAUUGAGUAUAGGGGCGAAAGACCAAUCGAACCAUCUAGUAGCUGGUUCCUUCCGAAGUUUCCCUCAGGAUAGCUGGUGCAUUUAAAUGUUAUAUAAAAUAAUCUUAUCUGGUAAAGCGAAUGAUUAGAGGCCUUAGGGUCGAAACGAUCUUAACCUAUUCUCAAACUUUAAAUGGGUAAGAACCUUAACUUC